Molecule: ribosomal RNA, 984 nt
Filed under: human gut metagenome
Description: bacterial LSU rRNA
Rfam family: Bacterial large subunit ribosomal RNA
Source: RNAcentral
AACUAUAACGGUCCUAAGGUAGCGAAAUUCCUUGUCGGGUAAGUUCCGACCCGCAUGAAAGGCGUAAUGAUUUGGGCACUGUCUCAACGAGGGGCCCGGUGAAAUUGAAAUACCUGUGAAGAUGCAGGUUACCCGCGACUGGACAGAAAGACCCCAUGGAGCUUUACUGCAGCUUGAGAUGGAAUCUCGGAAGUAGAUGCACAGGAUAGGUGGGAGACAAAGAAGUAUGUACUUAGGUAUGUAUGGAGUCGAUGUUGGGAUACCACCCUUCUAGUUCUGGGAUUCUAACGCCAGGAGUAACGAUCCUGCGGACAAUCUCAGGUAGGCAGUUUGACUGGGGCGGUCGCCUCCGAAAGAGUAACGGAGGCGCCCAAAGGUUCCCUCAGGUCGGACAGAAACCGACCGACGAGUGCAAAGGCAGAAGGGAGCUUGACUGCGAGACCAACAAGUCGAGCAGAGACGAAAGUCGGGCUUAGUGAUCCGGUGGUACUGUGUGGAAAGGCCAUCGCUCAACGGAUAAAAGCUACCCUGGGGAUAACAGGCUAAUCUCUCCCAAGAGUUCAUAUCGACGGGGAGGUUUGGCACCUCGAUGUCGGCUCAUCACAUCCUGGGGCUGGAGUAGGUCCCAAGGGUUGGGCUGUUCGCCCAUUAAAGUGGUACGCGAGCUGGGUUCAAAACGUCGUGAGACAGUUUGGUUCAUAUCCAUCGCGGGCGUAAGAAGUUUGAGGGGGGCUGCUCCUAGUACGAGAGGACCGGAGUGGACGAAUCAAUGGUGUACCAGUUGUCACGCCAGUGGCAUGGCUGGAAAGCCACAUUCGGAAGGGAUAAACGCUGAAAGCAUCUAAGCGUGAAGCCCACCCCAAGAUGAGACUUCUCAUCAGAAAUGAGUAAGAUCCCUUAUAGACUAUGAGGUAGAUAGGCCGCAAGUGGAAGAGCAGUGAUGUUUGGAGCGAUGCGGUACUAAUAGAUCGAGGUCUUAACUUA